This 354-nucleotide RNase P RNA is filed under the name Actinomycetota bacterium. RNAcentral's name for it is "RNase P RNA component class A". It matches the Rfam family "Bacterial RNase P class A". From Rfam's summary of the family: Ribonuclease P (RNase P) is a ubiquitous endoribonuclease, found in archaea, bacteria and eukarya as well as chloroplasts and mitochondria. Its best characterised activity is the generation of mature 5'-ends of tRNAs by cleaving the 5'-leader elements of precursor-tRNAs. The record is from RNAcentral. Lineage: Bacteria; Bacillati; Actinomycetota.
CGAGUCGGUCGGGUGGCCGCGGCCAGUGGCGCACAAGCGAUACUGGUCGAGGAAGGUCGGGGCUCCAUAGGGCAGGGUGCUGGCUAACGGCCAGUCGGGGUGACCCGCAGGAAAGCGCAACAGAGAGCAGACCGCCGAUGGCCCGGGCAACCGGGAUCAGGCAAGGGUGAAACGGUGCGGUAAGAGCGCACCAGCGACCGGGGCAAUCCGGUCGGCUCGGCAAGCCCCACCCGGAGCAAGGCCAAGCGUGGGACGGGCGGCCCGUCCGAUGUCCCCAGGUAGGCCGCGUAGAUGGAUGGUCACCGUCCGGGCUCGUCCCGGAUACAGAACCCCGCCUAUAGGCCGACUCGCCGU